GAUGAACGCUAGCGGGAGGCCUAACACAUGCAAGCCGAGCGGUAUUUGUUCUCUGGCACAGAGAGAGCGGCGCGCGGGUGCGGAACACGCGUGCAACUUGCCUUUAUCUGGGGGAUUGCCUUCCGAAAGGAAGAUUAAUUACCCCUAAUAUAUUGAGUGGCAUCAUUUGAUAUUGUAAACUCUGGUGGUUAGAGAUGGGCACGCGCAAGAUUAGCUAGUUGGUGAGGUAACGGCUUACCAAGGCAAUGAUCUUUAGGGGGCCUGAGAGGGUGAUCCCCCACACUGGUACCGAGACACGGACCAGUCUGCUACGGAGGGCAGCGGUGUGGAAGAUAGGAGGCGGGAUUAGCGCCUAAUCCAGCCAUCCCGGGUGAAGAACGCCUGCCCUAUGGAUGGUAAACUUCUUGUGAAUAAGGAUAAUCCGACUCUCGUGAGAGUAGCUGAAGGUACUAUACGAAUAAGCACCGGCUAACUCCGUG
This 479-nucleotide ribosomal RNA is filed under the name uncultured bacterium. RNAcentral describes it as "partial 16S ribosomal RNA". It matches the Rfam family "Bacterial small subunit ribosomal RNA", at positions 28 to 507 of the family's 1533-position model. The record is from RNAcentral.